This is a long non-coding RNA of Oryzias javanicus (javanese ricefish), 1671 nucleotides long. Lineage: Eukaryota; Metazoa; Chordata; Actinopteri; Beloniformes; Adrianichthyidae. The record is from Ensembl.
AUGAAUGUCACUAACGUUAUGCUUGUGUUUGGUUUUCCCAGCUCUCGUCCGACUCAGAAGCUGUUUUCUGAGCUGAUUCGUGAUGCUCAUGUUUCACUCCAGAGAUGUAAUAUGGACAAUCUCGACAUGAGUCACAGCACCUCCUCUGGAGCAACACAAACACGAACUCACACUACAGUCAGGAGGGCCGGUGGAGGUCAGGCUGCUCGCCAGAGGGACGCUUCGUCUGUCAAAGCACUACAGAGGAAAACUGAAGCUGUUGAAAAAAGAAGAAAAGCUAAAGAUGAAAAACUAUCUCUCAAUUCAUGUAGCCAAAAGGACAGUGCCAGAACCAAGGGUUCUGAUGGCGGGACUUCUCCAAUUGGGUCCCAGAACUCUUCUGAAAGUUCAGACCUUCUGUGUAUUUCGGACACAUCGGAAACCACGAGGCAUCCCAAACGUCCCGCCCGCCUUCCCCUACCAGCACUCGCUCUGUUUCUGAAACAGCAUUCAACUAAAUUAAAAAAGACCACAAGCAAACCAGAUACUACUCCGGCAGAACCUGCGUCUGGAUCCAGAGGUUCUGAUGCAGUUUCUGAACAGACCGAGCCUGAACCCAUCACUGAGAGCUGCACGACUGCCAGAGUUGAAGAAGCGAGUGAAACUCAUCAAAAGCCUUCUAUUCCUUCAAGUGACGGUUCAGAACCAGAACAACCCAAAUGCUCUUUAGGCUUGGUUUAUGAGAGCUCACCCUCAGAGCCGCUCAUACCUGAUGUUACUCCAGUAUUAGCCACCUCUUCCCUUAGGACACCUACACCCCCCCCUUCUACGUGUACUACCUCAUCAACCAUCCUAAGUGCAGUGUUACCCUCCCAAAACUCACCCCCAACAUUAACACUACCUCCAGAACCCCACCCCCUGAAGACAGAGUCCUCUCUCCCCGACCCAGAAUGCUCAUCUUUUGACUUUGAGCCCCUGUCGCCGGCGAGUUCUCCAGAACCCUUACCGUCUCUGCCAGCUUCGUUAGCGUUGGAGCUCGACUCCACGGCGUCCGAAGCAGCUUUUCCCACCGAAGCGUCUGACGACCUGCUGCCCAACAGAAGCUCCGUCUUCACGUGGCACACAGUGUUGCCUCCGCCAGAGCCGUACGUGGAAACUCCCUUUGCAACAUUUCCGCCCGCUGUCGGAUCCGGCGCACCUUUGCUGCCUUGCCACACUGAACCGCAGGAUCUGAACGCGUCACCGUCUUUGCCUUCCAGCGAGCCUCCUCCGUCAUUUCAAGACUGUGAACAGCUUCUGCCGUUCCCCGCCGAGCUGUCGCCCCUCGCGCUUCAGCUGCCGUUGUCUCCGACCUUCUCACUGGACGGGGAACGACUGUCGCCCACCCCUUCCCUCACCGACCUGGUGCACUUCUUCUCGGUUGAGGAGGACGCUGGGAUCGGGACGACAUUUCCAAACUCUGAACCUCCUGUUCCCAUUUCCCUUCCGACGACCGUGGAGACCCACGAACCGCUACUCCCCGCCCCUCCAGACUCCGUCCAGAAAUGCAGACGCAAGAAGAAGAGGAAGGGGAAGCUGGACGGGAUGAACGAAGAUCAGAAAACAGAAGAAUGUGGUCGUAUGCAGCCUAACAUGGAGGAAGUUGAGGAGCAGUUGUUCAUCUCCUUCACGUCUAAGGUAAAGAGGCAGUAA